Molecule: ribosomal RNA, 266 nt
Filed under: uncultured bacterium
Lineage: Bacteria
Description: partial 16S ribosomal RNA
Rfam family: Bacterial small subunit ribosomal RNA
Source: RNAcentral
AUGUCCCUACGGGAGGCAGCAGUGGGGAAUAUUGCACAAUGGGGGAAACCCUGAUGCAGCAAUGCCGCGUGAGUGAAGAAGGUUUUCGGAUUGUAAAGCUCUGUUAGCAGGGAAGAGGAAGGACGGUACCUGCAGAGGAAGCCACGGCUAACUACGUGCCAGCAGCCGCGGUAAUACGUAGGUGGCAAGCGUUGUUCGGAAUAACUGGGCGUAAAGGAUGCGUAGGCGGGUAAAAAAGUUAUAUGUUAAAUAUAUAGGCUUAACCU